RNAcentral lists this ribosomal RNA (442 nucleotides) under uncultured soil bacterium. RNAcentral's name for it is "bacterial SSU rRNA". It matches the Rfam family "Bacterial small subunit ribosomal RNA", at positions 26 to 518 of the family's 1533-position model. The record is from RNAcentral.
AGAACGAACGCUGGCGGCAUGCCUAACACAUGCAAGUCGAACGAGACCUUCGGGUCUAGUGGCGCACGGGUGCGUGACGCGUGGGAAUCUGCCCUUCGGUUCGGAAUAACAGUUAGAAAUGACUGCUAAUACCGGAUAAUGACGUAAGUCCAAAGAUUUAUCGCCGAAGGAUGAGCCCGCGUAAGAUUAGCUUGUUGGUGAGGUAAAGGCUCACCAAGGCUACGAUCUUUAGCUGGUCUGAGAGGAUGAUCAGCCACACUGGGACUGAGACACGGCCCAGACUCCUACGGGAGGCAGCAGUGGGAAUAUGGACAAUGGGCGAAAGCCUGAUCCAGCAAUGCCGCGUGAGUGAUGAAGGCCUUAGGUGUAAAGCUCUUUUACCCGGGAUGAUAAUGACAGUACCGGAGAAGUAAGCUCCGGCUAACUCCGUGCCAGCAGCCGC